GACCUGCAAAUAGACCAGUGCAGGCAUUGAACAUCUGGGGCAAGACUAGAGUCUCCCAGCAGAUUAGUCUGCAUAUCAAGAACAACUAGACCUUAUAAAAGUCACAACAGAGCAGAGGGAUGUUUGCCUGUAAAUGUACACUUUCUAGUGUUUUCUCAAAUUAGAGCAUCUGAGGGUAUCUUGAGAGAAAUCAAAUGCACCAAGACAAAAAUGUAUGACCUGAAACUGGUCCUGAGGAAACAUCAGAUGGACCACGUUGAGCAUCACACUGCAGAAUGUAGGGCUGCAUUCUUCCAAACUGUUGGGAUGGUGAAAGUCAGGGAAAGACUGAGGAAUUGCUCCAAACUGGGGCAGACUGCAAAGAUGUGACAAUUAAAUGCAACGUGUAACUCGGGGUUUCUGC
Molecule: non-coding RNA, 403 nt
Filed under: Pan troglodytes (chimpanzee)
Lineage: Eukaryota; Metazoa; Chordata; Mammalia; Primates; Hominidae
Source: RNAcentral